This is a long non-coding RNA of Coturnix japonica (Japanese quail), 1208 nucleotides long. RefSeq lists it as uncharacterized. Lineage: Eukaryota; Metazoa; Chordata; Aves; Galliformes; Phasianidae. The record is from RefSeq and is a predicted model, not a curated record.
CCUGCAUCCUCUGCACCUGUGUAGAAAAAAUACUACAGCUGCUCUUUGAGUGAUGUGACCUAGAUUUAUAGAACAAAAACUGAGCCCAGGAGGUCUUCAGCUGUAGGCCUACGUUUUCACCGGAUCUGAACUUUCCCAACAGUAUGUUGGCCUUGAUAAAGUUCUGGAACGGUGCUGUUUCUUUAAAGAAACCAACUGGCGUGAAGCAGAAGACAAUGUCCAUUACAGCAUUGCUUCUCUGUGUAAAGACAUAAGAAUUGGCCUGAUUUCCACAAGUGCAAGGCAAGGACGGAUACUGUCUUUUCCACUGGGAUCUGAGGUUAUAGAGCAUUUCUGAGAGGCAAGUCAUUUGCUGCUACUUCUGAAACUAACUUCUUAAGGUAUUCAGGACUGUACAAAGUGAUUUAUAUCAUCCUUUGAUACUGUGAAUUGUUUGCAAAAGCCUUGCAUUUUCAGGAAAAAAUAUAGUAAUUCAUACGGCAUCACUCUUUAGAGCAACAGACUCAGAAGAAAACAAAACAAAGUCACAUUUGAGUGAGCUACCAUGCAUCAUUUUGGGAUUUAAAUCUUUCUUCUUUGCGUCUUAUUACAGUUUGCAGUGUUUUUUUGUGUUGUUGUGGUUGAAAAAGAUGGUGCCGAUAAAAAUAUAGCUCUCCCCUCCUGCUGCUUGGCGUGGACUCAUCCCUUUAAGUCAAUAAGCUGCAUAACAUACAUGUACAUGCGCAUAAAAAACAGCUUUUAGAAAGAGAAAGAGGUGAAUGCUGUGAGAACCACCUCAGUGACUUUAUGAACUUAAGUGCUGACUGCUCAGAAGAGUUACGAUCCUUCUGUUUGAUGGUGAAUAUUGCUGUAGGAUCAUAUUACAAUUCUUUGUGCUGUAUAUAUUUACUUGCCUUCUUGCAAUAAAAAUAAUCCUUCCUUUUAUUAUAGGUAAUUCCAGUUUGUAACAGAUCAGCAACUUGGUGUUGUUUCUUGGGCAGGGUGAGGGACUCGGUACCUAUCUUGCAUGGGCUUUUCCAGGUGAUUCAGGUUAUUUACUGGCUAUGACUUUCCGUUCAUACAACAUUUGAAGUUUCAUCAAAAUAAUUUGGAGCACCCUGGGACCAAAUAAACAGCAGAGCUUGAAAUAUCUAUUUUCCAAGAUAACCACGCUAGAACUUGCCAAACCAAACGUUACUGUCAAAAGCAUGGCUCAGCCAUAAUGUGGA